This 408-nucleotide ribosomal RNA is filed under the name uncultured bacterium. RNAcentral's name for it is "partial 16S ribosomal RNA". It matches the Rfam family "Bacterial small subunit ribosomal RNA", at positions 28 to 526 of the family's 1533-position model. The record is from RNAcentral.
GACGAACGCUGGCGGCGUGCUUAACACAUGCAAGUCGAACGAAGUGGCGAACGGGUGAGUAACGCGUAAUCAACCUGCCCUUCAGAGGGGGACAACACUUGGAAACGACUGCUAAUACCGCAUACUGAAGGAAGGGUUUGCGUCUGAUUAGCUAGUGGGAGGGGCAACGGCCCACCAAGGCGAUGAUCAGUAGCCGGUCUGAGAGGAUGAACGGCCACAUGGGGACUGAGACACGGCCCAGACUCCUACGGGAGGCAGCAGUGGGGAAUUUUGGACAAUGGGCGCAAGCCUGAUCCAGCCAUGCCGCGUGUCUGAAGAAGGCCUUCGGGUUGUAAAGGACUUUUGUCAGGGAAGCGGUACCUGAAGAAUAAGCACCGGCUAACUACGUGCCAGCAGCCGCGGUAAUUC